RNAcentral lists this ribosomal RNA (642 nucleotides) under uncultured Actinomycetes bacterium. RNAcentral's name for it is "bacterial SSU rRNA". It matches the Rfam family "Bacterial small subunit ribosomal RNA", at positions 232 to 885 of the family's 1533-position model. The record is from RNAcentral. Lineage: Bacteria; Bacillati; Actinomycetota; Actinomycetes.
CGCGGCCUAUCAGCUUGUUGGUGGGGUAAUGGCCUACCAAGGCGACGACGGGUAGCCGGCCUGAGAGGGCGACCGGCCACACUGGGACUGAGACACGGCCCAGACUCCUACGGGAGGCAGCAGUGGGGAAUAUUGCACAAUGGGCGAAAGCCUGAUGCAGCGACGCCGCGUGAGGGAUGACGGCCUUCGGGUUGUAAACCUCUCUCAGCAGGGAAGAAGCGGAAGUGUCGGUACCUGCAGAAGAAGCGCCGGCUAACUACGUGCCAGCAGCCGCGGUAAUACGUAGGGCGCAAGCGUUGUCCGGAAUUAUUGGGCGUAAAGAGCUCGUAGGCGGCUUGUCACGUCGGAUGUGAAAGCCCGAGGCUUAACCUCGGGUCUGCAUUCGAUACGGGCUAGCUAGAGUGUGGUAGGGGAGAUCGGAAUUCCUGGUGUAGCGGUGGAAUGCGCAGAUAUCAGGAGGAACACCAAUGGCGAAGGCAGGACUCUGGGCCAUUACUGACACUGAGGAGCGAAAGCGUGGGGAGCGAACAGGAUUAGAUACCCUGGUAGUCCACGCCGUAAACGGUGGGCACUAGUUGAGGGGACCUUCCACGGUCUCUGCGACGCAGCUAACGCAUUAAGCGCCCCGCCUGGGGAGUACGG